ACUCAAAUGAAUUGACGGGGGCCCGCACAAGCGGUGGAGCAUGUGGUUCAAUUCGAUGCAGAGCGAAGAACCUUACCUGGGCUUGACAUGCAGGAAGUAGGAGCCGGAAACGGCAACGACCCGUUAAGUCGGGAGCCUGCACAGGUGGUGCAUGGCUGUCGUCAGCUCGUGCCGUGAGGUGUUGGGUUAAGUCCCGCAACGAGCGCAACCCUCACCCGAUGUUGCCAACGGUUCGGCCGGGCACUCUUCGGGAACUGCCAGCGAAGAGCUGGAGGAAGGGGGGGAUGACGUCAAGUCCGUAUGCCCCUUAUGUCCAGGGCUACACACAUGCUACAAUGGUCGGUACAGAGGGUCGCAAACCCGCGAGGGGGAGCCAAUCCCAUAACGCCGAUCUCAGUUCGGAUUGUAGGCUGCAACUCGCCUACAUGAAGGCGGAAUCGCUAGUAAGCGCAGAUCAGCAGGCUGCGCUGAAUACGUUCCCGGGCCUUGUACACACCGCCCGU
RNAcentral lists this ribosomal RNA (503 nucleotides) under uncultured bacterium. RNAcentral's name for it is "partial 16S ribosomal RNA". It matches the Rfam family "Bacterial small subunit ribosomal RNA", at positions 899 to 1397 of the family's 1533-position model. The record is from RNAcentral.